Molecule: ribosomal RNA, 202 nt
Filed under: uncultured bacterium
Lineage: Bacteria
Description: partial 16S ribosomal RNA
Rfam family: Bacterial small subunit ribosomal RNA
Source: RNAcentral
GACGUAGGGCGCGAGCGUUGUCCGGAUUUAUUGGGCGUAAAGAGCUCGUAGGCGGCUUGUCGCGUCGAAUGUGAAAACUCGGGGCUCAACCCCGCGCUUGCAUUCGAUACGGGCAGGCUCGAGUUCGGUAGGGGAGACUGGAAUUCCUGGUGUAGCGGUGAAAUGCGCAGAUAUCAAGGAGGAACACCUAUGGCGAAAGCAG